UCGAGACCGAACGAACGGACGACCGCGAACGUGUUACAUCCUCAACUCACUACUCCGUCCCGUCCCGCCGCCCCCCCGCGGUGCGGCGCGGCGGGACGGAGGAAACGAAACCCCGGCGCGGUGGGCGCCAAGGAACACUUUUUUGGAAGCGCCGUCGCGGCCCUCCCCGCCUCGCCCCGUCCGUAACAGGACGGGGAGGGAGGAGGGGGGAACGCGGGCGUGGAAAUAGAUAUCGUAUUCUGUACGACUCUCGACAACGGAUAUCUAGGCUCUCGCAUCGAUGAAGAACGUAGCGAAAUGCGAUACUUGGUGUGAAUUGCAGAAUCCCGUGAACCAUCGAGUCUUUGAACGCAAGUUGCGCCCGAGGCCAUCCGGUCGAGGGCACGCCUGCCUGGGCGUCACGCCUCCCGUCGCUCCCCACAGCCGUGCGGAUGCGGAGAUUGGCCCGCCGUGCCCCGUGCGCGGCGGGUCGAAGUGCGGGCCGUCGUUGGGCAAGGCGCGGCGAAUGGUGGACGAACGCACCGUUGUUUGUUUGUUUUGUGCCUACUCUCCGUGUCCUCGCCCCGAACAACGCGACGUGCCGUCGUCGGACCCCUCACCAGGGACCCUUUCUGCUUCCCAACAACGGGGAGAAGGAAUCGUCCUCGGAACG
Molecule: unclassified non-coding RNA, 652 nt
Filed under: Crocus cambessedesii
Lineage: Eukaryota; Viridiplantae; Streptophyta; Magnoliopsida; Asparagales; Iridaceae
Description: sequence contains ITS1, 5.8S rRNA gene and ITS2
Rfam family: 5.8S ribosomal RNA (bases 246-401)
Source: RNAcentral